This 145-nucleotide small nucleolar RNA is filed under the name Dipodomys ordii (Ord's kangaroo rat). Lineage: Eukaryota; Metazoa; Chordata; Mammalia; Rodentia; Heteromyidae. The record is from RNAcentral.
ACAGCAUACUGUUAAAGCCUGGCAGAGGCCAGCAUGGCCGGUGAACCCGGGGUGUUGGAGGUGUGCCACAGCAAUGCAGGACUCUCGCUGACCCCACGAGAGCUCCACUCUGUGACUAGUGCUGAUAGUGUCUACUGUUACAGCA